RNAcentral lists this small RNA (1011 nucleotides) under uncultured bacterium. RNAcentral describes it as "bacterial SSU rRNA". The stretch from base 1 to 476 matches the Rfam family "Bacterial small subunit ribosomal RNA", at positions 1045 to 1533 of the family's 1533-position model. The record is from RNAcentral.
AUGGCUGUCGUCAGCUCGUGUCGUGAGAUGUUGGGUUAAGUCCCGCAACGAGCGCAACCCUUACUUUUAGUUGCUACCAUUCAGUUGGGCACUCUAAAAGAACUGCCAGUGAUAAGCUGGAGGAAGGUGGGGAUGACGUCAAGUCCUCAUGGCCCUUACGUGUUGGGCUACACACGUGCUACAAUGGUAUUUACAAUGAGAUGCAAAGAGGCAACUCUAAGCAAACCCCAAAAAGAUACCUCAGUUCGGAUUGCACUCUGCAACUCGAGUGCAUGAAGCUGGAAUUACUAGUAAUCGUGGAUCAGCGCGCCACGGUGAAUACGUUCCCGGGUCUUGUACACACCGCCCGUCACACCAUGGAAGUUGGUUACACCUUAAGGCAAAGUGUAAAAUCUUUGACUACGGUACGAUCAGCGACUGGGGUGAAGUCGUAACAAGGUAGCCGUAGGGGAACCUGCGGCUGGAUCACCUCCUUUCUAAGGAAAUCGAAAAAUAUUAAAACAAUUAUUUUCGAUUUAAAAAAAACCGGUAAUGUGACCGUCCUCAUUUCUCUUCUUUUUAAUGUCUCUAAGGUAAAUCAAGGGGCCGGUAGCUCAGUUGGUUAGAGCGCACCCCUGAUAAGGGUGAGGUCGGAAGUUCGAAUCUUCCUCGGCCCACCAAUAUUAUGGGGGAUUAGCUCAGCUGGGAGAGCGCCUGAUUUGCAUUCAGGAGGCCAGCGGUUCGAUCCCGCUAUCCUCCACCAAAAUUUGAGACAUUUAGCUUUUUUAAAUUGUGAAUAUUAUUAUUAUCAAUAUCUAUAUCCGAUUGUUUUCAGAUAUUUUUUUGAAAACAAUCAAAACAAAAAUUUGAAUUUUACACAGAAAGUUUUUUUCUGUGCAUAAAUCAAGCGUUUAAGGGCGAUUGGCGGAUGCCUUGGCACUGUAAGACGAUGAAGGACGUGGUAUACUGCGAUAAGUUUCGGGGAGUUGUAUGCAAGCUUUGAUCCGUAAAUUUCCGAAUGGGGAAACCCGG